Molecule: long non-coding RNA, 967 nt
Organism: Rhea pennata
Lineage: Eukaryota; Metazoa; Chordata; Aves; Rheiformes; Rheidae
Exons: 3
Source: RefSeq, a predicted model, not a curated record
GAAGCGCCUGAGGAAGAGCCGUCGGCGAGGUUAUAGUGGGGCAGGAAGCAGGAGGUGAUGUCGGGGGUAACAAACAGGAAGCGGCGGCCGCGGCACAGUGCGGGGCCUGGCUGUGGGCUGAAGCGCGGGGAAAGGGCCUCCUCUCGCGUGGCGGGGGGAGCGGCGCCUGCCUCCCUGCCUUUGGCUGCCAGUGUUUUGCUUUCCCAGCUACUGUUUACACUGAGCUGUUGUUAUUUGGACGGCAGGACGAGAGCAGUAAAUAAUUGUUUGCGCUUCCGUAGCGUCUUUUCCCAAAGAACCUGAAAGAUAUGAAUGAACCCUCGCGACGUCCUUGUGACUCACAUGAAUAUUAGUAACCCCAUCUUACGUUUGAGGGAAGUGGAAUAUAUAGUCAUUAAGAGGCAGAUUCUCAAAAACGCUCGUGGAGUAACUGAGAGCAGAUUGUGGAACAACUGCCAGAACUGCUGAGUUCUUCCUCACCAUGUACGCCAGACGUGUCUGAUGGAAGAUCUUUUUAACCAUGCUAACUGUCUCAAAGAAAAGGAGCGUUUCAUAAUUACAAAGAUACGGACAUUUCCACCUAUUCCUGCAAUAGUGAAAAUCAGUGUAACCAUCUUCAUGAGGGGAGCAGGUGUGAAAGAAGAAGAGCCUCUGUGGAAUAAGGAGACUUGCGAGUAGGAGGAUUUAUUAAUGAAGAAGCAAAGCCAGCACUGGGAGCUGGUGGGCUGAACUGAAAGGGGUGAUUAGAGCCAGGUCAUAUCUUUCAUAAUUAUCACACUUUUAUUCGUUUUUUUUUUUCCAUAAUACAUUUUGUUCUGAUUUUCUCACGUUUCUUUGCUGACAGUCUUCCAGAGAACAAAUGAGUUUAUGGGCAGGAACAAAAAUGCCUUGGCAAUGCUUCGGCAUUUUUUGCCAAAGCAGAAAAUGUAAGGCAAAUAUCAGACAGUGUUAAUAAAAAAUAAGUUUC